This 445-nucleotide ribosomal RNA is filed under the name uncultured bacterium. RNAcentral describes it as "partial 16S ribosomal RNA". It matches the Rfam family "Bacterial small subunit ribosomal RNA", at positions 354 to 796 of the family's 1533-position model. The record is from RNAcentral.
GUGAGGAAUAUUGGACAAUGGGCGCAAGCCUGAUCCAGCCAUGCCGCGUGCAGGAAGACGCAUCUAUGGUGUGUAAACUGCUUUUGUACGGGAAGAAACACUCCCUCGUGAGGGAGCUUGACGGUACCGUAAGAAUAAGGAUCGGCUAACUCCGUGACAGCAGCCGCGGUAAUACGGAGGAUCCAAGCGUUAUCCGGAAUCAUUGUGUUUAAAGGGUCCGUAGGCGGUUUAAUAAGUCAGUGGUGAAAGCCCAUCGCUCAACGAUGGAACGGCCAUUGAUACUGUUAGACUUGAAUUACAAGGAAGUAACUAGAAUAUGUAGUGUAGCGGUGAAAUGCUUAGAUAUUACAUGGAAUACCAAUUGCGAAGGCAGGUUACUACUUGUGGAUUGACGCUGAUGGACGAAAGCGUGGGGAGCGAACAGGAUUAGAUACCCUUGUAGUCC